This 331-nucleotide ribosomal RNA is filed under the name uncultured bacterium. Its description in RNAcentral is "bacterial SSU rRNA". It matches the Rfam family "Bacterial small subunit ribosomal RNA", at positions 568 to 898 of the family's 1533-position model. The record is from RNAcentral.
CAUGUAGGUGGUUUGUUAAGUUAGGUGUUAAAUUGUUGGGCUCAACCCAACUUCGCACUUAAUACUGAUGAACUUGAGUUUAGGAGAGGAAAGGGGAACUCACAGUGUAGCGGUGAAAUGCGUAGAUAUUGUGAGGAACACCAGUGGCGAAGGCGCCUUUCUGGCCUAAAACUGACGCUGAGAUGCGAAAGCGUGGGGAGCAAACAGGAUUAGAUACCCUGGUAGUCCACGCUGUAAACAAUGCUCACUAGGUGUAGGAGGUAUCGACCCCUUCUGUGCCGAAGCUAACGCGUUAAGUGAGCCGCCUGGGGAGUACGGCCGCAAGGCUAAA